UUGGGCGUGAGAGCUCGUAGGCGGUUUGUCGCGUCUGCCGUGAAAGUCCGGGGCUCAACUCCGGAUCUGCGGUGGGUACGGGCAGACUAGAGUGAUGUAGGGGAGACUGAAAUUCCUGGUGUAGCGGUGAAAUGCGCAGAUAUCAGGAGGAACACCGAUGGCGAAGGCAGGUCUCUGGGCAUUAACUGACGCUGAGGAGCGAAAGCAUGGGGAGCGAACAGGAUUAGAUACCCUGGUAGUCCAUGCCGUAAACGUUGGGCACUAGGUGUGGGGGACAUUCCACGUUUUCCGCGCCGUAGCUAACGCAUUAAGUGCCCCGCCUGGGGAGUACGGCCGCAAGGCUAAAACUCAAAGGAAUUGACGGGGGCCCGCACAAGCGGCGGAGCAUGCGGAUUAAUUCGAUGCAACGCGAAGAACCUUACCAAGGCUUGACAUGGGCCGGACCGGGCUGGAAACAGUCCUUCCCCUUUGGGGCCGGUUCACAGGUGGUGCAUGGUUGUCGUCAGCUCGUGUCGUGAGAUGUUGGGUUAAGUCCCGCAACGAGCGCAACCCUCGUUCCAUGUUGCCAGCGCGUAAUGGCGGGGACUCAUGGGAGACUGCCGGGGUCAACUCGGAGGAAGGUGGGGACGACGUCAAAUCAUCAUGCCCCUUAUGUCUUGGGCUUCACGCAUGCUACAAUGGCCGGUACAAAGGGUUGCGAUACUGUGAGGUGGAGCUAAUCCCAAAAAGCCGGUCUCAGUUCGGAUUGGGGUCUGCAACUCGACCCCAUGAAGUCGGAGUCGCUAGUAAUCGCAGAUCAGCAACGCUGCGGUGAAUACGUUCCCGGGCCUUGUACACACCGCCCGUCAAGUCACGAAAGUUGGUAACACCCGAAGCCGGUGGCCUAACCCCUUGUGGGAGGGAGCUGUCGAAGGUGGGACUGGCGAUUGGGACGAAUCUUACAGGGUAAC
This 950-nucleotide ribosomal RNA is filed under the name Arthrobacter sp. Its description in RNAcentral is "bacterial SSU rRNA". It matches the Rfam family "Bacterial small subunit ribosomal RNA", at positions 554 to 1500 of the family's 1533-position model. The record is from RNAcentral. Lineage: Bacteria; Bacillati; Actinomycetota; Actinomycetes; Micrococcales; Micrococcaceae.